Molecule: long non-coding RNA, 1083 nt
Filed under: Anser cygnoides (Swan goose)
Lineage: Eukaryota; Metazoa; Chordata; Aves; Anseriformes; Anatidae
Description: lncRNA (ENSACDG00005006191.1)
Source: RNAcentral
GAGCCGGGCACAGCAGGUAAAAGCCCCCGGGGCGCUGCCUGCCACGCUCGCUGCUGCCGCCGCCGCUCCCCCGCAGCCCCGCGCUGGCGGAGCCGGGACCGGGAGGCGGCGAGGGGCGGCCGGGGGGCGGAGGGGGCGGCGCUCGCUGCCUGCCUCCCGCCCGCCCGCUCCCCUGCACCGGGCACGGACGGCAGCCGGGCGAGCGCCGGCGGCGAGGGGGGGCCCCCCUUGCACACACACACACCCCCUCCCAAAAUCGCACCCGCGGCGCCCAUUGGCUGCGGGGACCUUGACGUCAGGCGGCGGGUGAAGUUUCGGAGGGGAAGGAGGGGGGAGUGCGGGGCUGCGCUGGAGCCGGGGGGUCCAACCGCUGGGUGGGUGACCCCCCUCGCCCCUUACUCCCCCCAAGAAGCUCCGUGUUUGGGGCCGGAGCCCGCGGCCCCGAGCCGGCCCCCGGCGCCCCCACGCCGCGGCCCCGAGUUGGGCUGCGGGGGGCUCGGGGCUUCCUCCGCCUUUUGUUCGCCCCGUCCGCACUCCCCGAGUUCCCUCUGGCGGCCGCGGGCGGACACUCACCGCCCGGCCCCGCGCUGCCCCCGCGCAGGUGGCCCCCUUCACCCCUCCACACCUUCAUCCCUUCAUCAGAGGCUGAAGGCAAGAGAGGUUUUGGGAAAGAAGGGCAGUCACCCCAUAGGUCCCGCUGGGGUUUUACCGACGGGCUGCUCAGCACCUUGUAGCCAAAGUGUGUUAAAAACCACACAAACACAGGGUGCCCUAAAAGUCUGUAGAUAUUUAGAGAUUGCUUGGAAGAGCAGGAGUCCUGGGAGACACGCAAAUCAGCAUUUUCCCGAGCCAAGUCGUAAGACCAUUAACAGGAUGAAAAAAGUAAAGCUGCUGUAUACAAGUCACAAAACCCGUCUCAAAAUACUGAGUUCCUUACUUUGCACACCUAAAGACAGUUCCAAAGGCAAACUUACGCAUAAUGCAUUGCUAAUAAAGAUACUGCACGGAGAACAGUUGUUCUGCCUCUACAUCACCAAAGAGUGGCCCAUUACAGUGGAGGUGAGGCUUUGCUCCUGUGGAUAG